GCGGUGGUAGCUCAGUGGUAGAGCAUCAGUUUUCCAAACUGAGGGUCGCGAGUUCAAAUCUCGUCCACCGCU
This 72-nucleotide transfer RNA is filed under the name Candidatus Gottesmanbacteria bacterium. Its description in RNAcentral is "tRNA-Gly". It matches the Rfam family "tRNA". From Rfam's summary of the family: Transfer RNA (tRNA) molecules are approximately 80 nucleotides in length. Their secondary structure includes four short double-helical elements and three loops (D, anti-codon, and T loops). Lineage: Bacteria; Candidatus Gottesmaniibacteriota. The record is from RNAcentral.